Molecule: ribosomal RNA, 301 nt
Filed under: uncultured bacterium
Lineage: Bacteria
Description: partial 16S ribosomal RNA
Rfam family: Bacterial small subunit ribosomal RNA
Source: RNAcentral
CAGUCGCCACGGUAAUGCGUAGGGUGCGAGCGUUAAUCGGAAUUACUGGGCGUAAAGCGUGCGUAGGCGGUUCGUUAAGUCUGUUGUGAAAGCCCCGGGCUCAACCUGGGAAUGGCAAUGGAUACUGGCGAGCUAGAGUGUGUCAGAGGAUGGUGGAAUUCCCGGUGUAGCGGUGAAAUGCGUAGAGAUCGGGAGGAACAUCAGUGGCGAAGGCGGCCAUCUGGGACAACACUGACGCUGAGGCACGAAAGCGUGGGGAGCAAACAGGAUUAGAUACCCCCGUAGUCCCUGUCUCUUAUAC